CCUACGGGAGGCAGCAGUGGGGAAUUUUGGACAAUGGGGGAAACACUGAUCCAGCCAUCCCGCGUGUGCGAUGAAGGCCUUCGGGUUGUAAAGCACUUUUGGCAGGAAAGAAACGUCGCGGGCUAAUACCCCGCGAAACUGACGGUACCUGCAGAAUAAGCACCGGCUAACUACGUGCCAGCAGCCGCGGUAAUACGUAGGGUGCAAGCGUUAAUCGGAAUUACUGGGCGUAAAGCGUGCGCAGGCGGUUCGGAAAGAAAGAUGUGAAAUCCCAGAGCUUAACUUUGGAACUGCAUUCUUAACUACCGGGCUAGAGUGUGUCAGAGGGAGGUGGUAUUCCGCGUGUAGCAGUGAAAUGCGUAGAUAUGCGGAGGAACACCGAUGGCGAAGGCAGCCUCCUGGGAUAACACUGACGCUCAUGCACGAAAGCGUGGGGAGCAAACAGGAUUAGAUACCCUGGUAGUCCACGCCCUAAACGAUGUCAACUAGCUGUUGGGGUCUUCGGACCUUGGUAGCGCAGCUAACGCGUGAAGUUGACCGCCUGGGGAGUACGGUCGCAAGAUUAAAACUUAAAGGAAUUGACGG
Molecule: ribosomal RNA, 585 nt
Filed under: uncultured Achromobacter sp.
Lineage: Bacteria; Pseudomonadati; Pseudomonadota; Betaproteobacteria; Burkholderiales; Alcaligenaceae
Description: bacterial SSU rRNA
Rfam family: Bacterial small subunit ribosomal RNA
Source: RNAcentral